ACCUACGGGAGGCUGCAGUAGGGAAUAUUGCGCAAUGGACGAAAGUCUGACGCAGCCACGCCGCGUGAGUGAGGAAGGCCUUCGGGUUGUAAAGCUCUGUCGGCUGGGAAAAACGGCUAUCCGGGGAAAGUUCGGGUAGCGUGAUGGUACCAGCAAAGGAAGCACCGGCAAACUCUGUGCCAGCAGCCGCGGUAAUACAGAGGGUGCAAGCGUUGUUCGGAAUUACUGGGCGUAAAGCGUGCGUAGUCGGUAUUGAGAGUCGCGGGUGAAAUCCCAGGGCUUAACCCUGGAACUGCCUGCGAGACCUGAGUACUAGAGUGUGAGAGGGGAUAGUGGAAUACCCAGUGUAGCGGUGAAAUGCGUAGAGAUUGGGUGGAACACCGGUGGCGAAGGCGGCUAUCUGGCUCACAACUGACGAUCAGGCACGAAAGCGUGGGGAGCAAACAGGAUUAGAUACCCUUGUAGUCU
This 468-nucleotide ribosomal RNA is filed under the name uncultured bacterium. Its description in RNAcentral is "bacterial SSU rRNA". It matches the Rfam family "Bacterial small subunit ribosomal RNA", at positions 337 to 796 of the family's 1533-position model. The record is from RNAcentral.